RNAcentral lists this ribosomal RNA (405 nucleotides) under uncultured bacterium. RNAcentral's name for it is "partial 16S ribosomal RNA". It matches the Rfam family "Bacterial small subunit ribosomal RNA", at positions 28 to 526 of the family's 1533-position model. The record is from RNAcentral.
GAUGAACGCUGGCGGCGUGCCUAAUACAUGCAAGUCGAGCGAAGCGGGGACGGGUGAGUACCACGUGGAUAACCUCCUAUAAGUCUGGGAUAACUUCGGGAAACAGGAGCUAAACCGGAUACUUAUCUAUGGUUGUGCGCUGCAUUAGCUAGUUGGUAAGGUAACGGCUUACCAAGGCAACGAUGCAUAGCCGACCUGAGAGGGUGAUCGGCCACACUGGAACUGAGACACGGUCCAGACUCCUACGGGAGGCAGCAGUAGGGAAUCUUCCGCAAUGGGCGAAAGCCUGACGGAGCAACGCCGCGUGAGUGAAGAAGGUCUUCGGAUCGUAAAACUCUGUUAUUAGGGAAGCGGUACCUAAUCAGAAAGCCACGGCUAACUACGUGCCAGCAGCCGCGGUAAUAC